This 458-nucleotide ribosomal RNA is filed under the name uncultured bacterium. Its description in RNAcentral is "bacterial SSU rRNA". It matches the Rfam family "Bacterial small subunit ribosomal RNA", at positions 501 to 957 of the family's 1533-position model. The record is from RNAcentral.
CUACGUGCCAGCAGCCGCGGUAAUACGUAGGGUGCGAGCGUUAAUCGGAAUUACUGGGCGUAAAGCGUGCGCAGGCGGCUUUGUAAGACAGAUGUGAAAUCCCCGGGCUUAACCUGGGAACUGCGUUUGUGACUGCAAGGCUUGAGUGCGGCAGAGGGGGGUGGAAUUCCACGUGUAGCAGUGAAAUGCGUAGAGAUGUGGAGGAACACCGAUGGCGAAGGCAGCCCCCUGGGUCGACACUGACGCUCAUGCACGAAAGCGUGGGUAGCAAACAGGAUUAGAUACCCUGGUAGUCCACGCCCUAAACGAUGCCAACUAGGUGUUGGGGAAGGAGACUUCCUUAGUACCGUAGCUAACGCGUGAAGUUGGCCGCCUGGGGAGUACGGUCGCAAGAUUAAAACUCAAAGGAAUUGACGGGGACCCGCACAAGCGGUGGAUGAUGUGGAUUAAUUCGAUGC